UGCAAUGUGAUAGCUGAUUCCUGG
RNAcentral lists this non-coding RNA (24 nucleotides) under Mus musculus (house mouse). Lineage: Eukaryota; Metazoa; Chordata; Mammalia; Rodentia; Muridae. The record is from RNAcentral.